This 440-nucleotide ribosomal RNA is filed under the name uncultured bacterium. RNAcentral's name for it is "partial 16S ribosomal RNA". It matches the Rfam family "Bacterial small subunit ribosomal RNA", at positions 338 to 795 of the family's 1533-position model. The record is from RNAcentral.
CCUACGGGUGGCAGCAGUAGGGAAUAGUGCUCAAUGGGGGAAACCCUGAAGCAGCAACGCCGCGUGGAGGAUGAAGGUUCUCGGAUUGUAAACUCCUUUUGAUAGAGGAGAUAAUGACGGUAUCAAACGAAUAAGCACAGGAUAACUCUGUGCCAGCAGCCGCGGUAAUACGGAGGCUGCAAGCGUUAGUCGGAAUCACUGGGCGUAAAGAGCGCGUAGGCGGGAUAGCAAGUCAGAUGUGAAAUCCUAUGGCUUAACCAGAGAACUGCAUAUGAAACUGUUAUUCUAGAGUAUGGGAGAGGUAAGUGGAAUUCUUGGUGUAGGGGUAAAAUGCGUAGAGAUCGAGAGGAAUACUCGUUGCGAAGGCGACCUGCUAGAACAUAACUGACGCUGAGGCGCGAAGGCGUGGGGAGCGAAAAGGAUUAGAUACCCGAGUAGUC